AUGAUGAAAUUCUUCAGAGUUUUGCUAGCAAUCUUGUGGCUUCAAUUAAGCUGGGUGAGGAGCCAACAAAAGGAGGUGGAGCAGACUCUCAAAUCCCUCAGUGUUUCUGAGGGAGCCACGGCCUCUCUUAACUGCACUUAUACCAACACUGCUUCUCAGUUCUUCUUUUGGUACAGACAAUAUUCUGGGAAAGGCCCUGAGUUGCUGGUGUCCAUAUACUCCACUGGUGACAAAGAAGAAGGAAGGUUUACAGCACAGCUCAAUAAAGCCAGCCGAUAUGUUUCCCUGCUCAUCAGAGACUCCCAGCCCAGUGACUCAGCCACCUACCUCUGUGCAGUCAGCACACAGUGCUCCCCAGGCACCUGCAGCCUGCACCCAAACCUGCUGGGGCCUGAAACAGACCUUAGACUGCAGGGCAGAGAAGUUCUCUUUGCUCUCUAG
Lemur catta (Ring-tailed lemur) is the source of this 441-nucleotide non-coding RNA. Lineage: Eukaryota; Metazoa; Chordata; Mammalia; Primates; Lemuridae. The record is from the annotation of a RefSeq genome assembly.